UUCUGACUGUGUUGAAUGUUUGGUCUCCAAAGUAAAGGUCAAACAAGGUUGACGUCCAUUGGAUUCUAUGACAUGUGACCCACAUUACCCUGUAACUUGAUAACUAAACAAAACAGGUGGUGUAAACUAUUCCUUUUUAAAACCUGAAUAACUCAAGCAACAAUUAAAUGCAGUGAUGUUUUCAGAGAUUAGAGCA
Molecule: long non-coding RNA, 196 nt
Organism: Thalassophryne amazonica
Lineage: Eukaryota; Metazoa; Chordata; Actinopteri; Batrachoidiformes; Batrachoididae
Exons: 4
Source: RefSeq, a predicted model, not a curated record